Molecule: transfer RNA, 72 nt
Filed under: Podospora anserina S mat+
Lineage: Eukaryota; Fungi; Ascomycota; Sordariomycetes; Sordariales; Podosporaceae
Also listed under: 1 other name
Description: tRNA-His (GTG) (tRNA-His-GTG-1 1 to 7)
Rfam family: tRNA
About the family: Transfer RNA (tRNA) molecules are approximately 80 nucleotides in length.
Source: RNAcentral
GGGUGACUAGUCUAGUGGUCAGGACGCUUCGUUGUGGCCGAAGAAACCCCGGUUCGAUUCCGGGGUCGCCCA